This 468-nucleotide ribosomal RNA is filed under the name uncultured bacterium. RNAcentral's name for it is "partial 16S ribosomal RNA". It matches the Rfam family "Bacterial small subunit ribosomal RNA", at positions 28 to 507 of the family's 1533-position model. The record is from RNAcentral.
GACGAACGCUGGCGGCGUGCUUAACACAUGCGAGUCGAACGGAAAGGCCCUGCUUUUGUGGGGUGCUCGAGUGGCGAAAGGGUGAGUAACACGUGAGAAACCUGCCCUAGACUUUGGGAUAACUUCAGGAAACUGGGGCUAAUACCGGAUAGGAGCUCCUGCUGCAUGGUGGGGGUUGGAAAGUUUCGGCGGUUGGGGAUGGACUCGCGGCUUAUCAGCUUGUUGGUGGGGUAGUGGCUUACCAAGGCUUUGACGGGUAGCCGGCCUGAGAGGGUGACCGGCGACAUGGGGACUGAGAUACGGCCCAGACUCCUACGGGAGGCAGCAGUGGGGAAUAUUGCACAAUGGGCGGAAGCCUGAUGCAGCAACGCCGCGUGCGGGAUGACGGCCUUCGGGUUGUAAACCGCUUUCGCCUGUGACGAAGCGUGAGUGACGGUAAUGGGUAAAGAAGCACCGGCUAACUACGUG